GGCCGCCAGGGGUGGUUCUCGACUCCCGGGACCACCGCCGGAGUCUCUGGCUACUUCUUCCGUCGCCUAAAAAACUCUACCGUUACCAACGCCGGAGUCCGGUCGCCACUGUCACUUGAGGUGGCUGACGUGCUGCUGCCGAACCGGUUCAAGAGACCGCCGCUGUUCGGUUCAGCCGUUUCUUCUUCGUGUUGCUAUGGUUAUUGCAAAAGUGGCUGGGAGCUGAGGUUUUGGUUGCCGGUGAUUUCGAGUUGAGACGAAAAGGACUCGGUGAAGCGUUUGGGAUAUGAA
Molecule: long non-coding RNA, 291 nt
Organism: Arachis duranensis
Lineage: Eukaryota; Viridiplantae; Streptophyta; Magnoliopsida; Fabales; Fabaceae
Exons: 3
Source: RefSeq, a predicted model, not a curated record